GAUGAACGCUGGCGGCGUGCCUAAUACAUGCAAGUCGAGCGAACGGACGAGAAGCUUGCUUCUCUGAUGUUAGCGGCGGACGGGUGAGUAACACGUGGAUAACCUACCUAUAAGACUGGGAUAACUUCGGGAAACCGGAGCUAAUACCGGAUAAUAUUUUGAACCGCAUGGUUCAAAAGUGAAAGACGGUCUUGCUGUCACUUAUAGAUGGAUCCGCGCUGCAUUAGCUAGUUGGUAAGGUAACGGCUUACCAAGGCAACGAUGCAUAGCCGACCUGAGAGGGUGAUCGGCCACACUGGAACUGAGACACGGUCAAGACUCCUACGGGAGGCAGCAGUAGGGAAUCUUCCGCAAUGGGCGAAAGCCUGACGGAGCAACGCCGCGUGAGUGAUGAAGGUCUUCGGAUCGUAAAACUCUGUUAUUAGGGAAGAACAUAUGUGUAAGUAACUGUGCACAUCUUGACGGUAACUAAUCAGAAAGCCACGGCUAACUACGUG
RNAcentral lists this ribosomal RNA (497 nucleotides) under uncultured bacterium. RNAcentral's name for it is "partial 16S ribosomal RNA". It matches the Rfam family "Bacterial small subunit ribosomal RNA", at positions 28 to 507 of the family's 1533-position model. The record is from RNAcentral.